GAUGAACGCUGGCGGCGUGCCUAAUACAUGCAAGUCGAGCGAACGGACGAGAAGCUUGCUUCUCUGAUGUUAGCGGCGGACGGGUGAGUAACACGUGGAUAACCUACCUAUAAGACUGGGAUAACUUCGGGAAACCGGAACUAAUACCGGAUGAUAUUUUGAACCGCAUGGUUCAAAAGUGAAAGACGGUCUUGCUGUCACUUAUAGAUGGAUCCGCGCUGCAUUAGCUAGUUGGUAAGGUAACGGCUUACCAAGGCAACGAUGCAUAGCCGACCUGAGAGGGUGAUCGGCCACACUGGAACUGAGACACGGUCCAGACUCCUACGGGAGGCAGCAGUAGGGAAUCUUCCGCAAUGGGCGAAAGCCUGACGGAGCAACGCCGCGUGAGUGAUGAAGGUCUUCGGAUCGUAAAACUCUGUUAUUAGGGAAGAACAUAUGUGUAAGUAACUGUGCACAUCUUGGCGGUACCUAAUCAGAAAGCCACGGCUAACUACGUG
This 497-nucleotide ribosomal RNA is filed under the name uncultured bacterium. RNAcentral describes it as "partial 16S ribosomal RNA". It matches the Rfam family "Bacterial small subunit ribosomal RNA", at positions 28 to 507 of the family's 1533-position model. The record is from RNAcentral.